ACGCACGCUGGCGGCAGGCCUAACCCAUGCAAGUCGAGCGAGGACUUCGGUCCUAGCGGCGGACGGGUGAGUAACGCGUGGGAACGUGCCCUUUGCUUCGGAAUAGCCCUGGGAAACUGGGAGUAAUACCGGAUGAGCCCUUUGGGGGAAAGAUUUAUCGGCGAAGGAUCGGCCCGCGUUGGAUUAGGUAGUUGGUGGGGUAAUGGCCUACCAAGCCGACGAUCCAUAGCUGGUUUGAGAGGAUGAUCAGCCACACUGGGACUGAGACACGGCCCAGACUCCUACGGGAGGCAGCAGUGGGGAAUCUUAGACAAUGGGGGAAACCCUGAUCUAGCCAUGCCGCGUGAGCGAUGAAGGCCUUAGGGUUGUAAAGCUCUUUCAGCUGGGAAGAUAAUGACGGUACCAGCAGAAGAAGCCCCGGCUAACUCCGUG
Molecule: ribosomal RNA, 432 nt
Filed under: uncultured bacterium
Lineage: Bacteria
Description: partial 16S ribosomal RNA
Rfam family: Bacterial small subunit ribosomal RNA
Source: RNAcentral